Molecule: transfer RNA, 94 nt
Filed under: Verrucomicrobiota bacterium
Lineage: Bacteria; Pseudomonadati; Verrucomicrobiota
Also listed under: 1 other name
Description: Verrucomicrobia bacterium tRNA-Sec
Rfam family: Selenocysteine transfer RNA
Source: RNAcentral
GGAGAGUGAAGGGUGCCUGGUGGCCCUCGCGGUCUUCAAAACCGUCGCCGCCGCGCAAGCGGCGAGAUAGGUUCGAUUCCUGUCCUCUCCGCCA